Molecule: long non-coding RNA, 336 nt
Filed under: Musa acuminata (dwarf banana)
Lineage: Eukaryota; Viridiplantae; Streptophyta; Magnoliopsida; Zingiberales; Musaceae
Description: long non-coding RNA (MACU_LNC005081)
Source: RNAcentral
UGAAGAUAUGCUUUCGGUGGAAUCUGCUUUAGAAAUUACCUUGGAGCACCAUGAUGAUAAAUCAUUUUUGGAUUCUAAUAUUGACCAAUCUGAUACAGCUAUUAAUCCUGAUCAUGAUUGCCAUCAACCUACCCAUGAUUCUGUUGCUUCUGAUACUGCUAUUGAUCCUGAUCAUGAUUGCCAUCAACUUACUCAUGAUUCUGUUGCUUCUGAUGCAGCUAUUGAUCCUGAUCAUGACUGCCAUCAACCUACUCAUGGUAUCAGUGCUUCUGAUACCUUUAGUACCGCAAUGUUUCAAAAUGAAGAAUUGAAGUCUGUUAAUGAAAUUGACUUAGA